RNAcentral lists this ribosomal RNA (257 nucleotides) under uncultured bacterium. Its description in RNAcentral is "partial 16S ribosomal RNA". The record is from RNAcentral.
CUGCUGCCUCCCGUAGGAGUCUGGGCCGUGUCUCAGUCCCAAUGUGGCCGUUCAACCUCUCAGUCCGGCUACCGAUUGUCGGUUUGGUGGGCCGUUACCCCGCCAACUGCCUAAUCGGACGCGAGCCCAUCUUUCAGCGGAUUGCUCCUUUGAUAUCAGUGCCAUGCGACUCCGAUAUUUUAUGCGGUAUUAGCGUUCGUUUCCAAACGUUAUCCCCCUCUGAAAGGCAGGUUGCUCACGUGUUACUCACCCGUCCG